UUUUUUUGUUUUUUUGUUUUUUUUUUUUUUGGUUAGUUUUGAGACUAACUAGGGAGAAGGUGAGAGCCAAGUGACAGAAAAUUAGCAGAGCUUGAUACUCUUGUUAGAAGUUCAGGCCUCUCCCAUAUGUAAACUUACUGAGCCAUCAGAGAAAUUCCUUGCCCAUUUCCUUUCCAGCUGACCUCGGGGUGGGGUUGGGGGGACGGUUACAGAGAUGCUCUGAGAAGCCAGGCUGCCUGGGAACAGGCUGAGCAGCCCCAAUAGCUUCGUAAAGUGUGUGAUGGGCAUAACUGGUACCCACGUUAAUUGUGAGGACCACCCAUGCCCCCGAGGAUGGCAGGAACCAGUGGGGUCAGAACCAAGUUGUAGCGGUUUCAGGGUACUGCUCCCUGAAUUAACAUAACAUUACCCCUUAUAAGUACGGCACGGUAGCUCUCACAAGUUAUUCCACCAAGCGGCAGUUAGUAAUCAUUAUCCUCACUUGCACAGAUGAGGAAACAAGGCCCAGAGAGAUUAAGUGACUUGCCCAAGGUCGCACAGCAAGUUAGUGGCAAAGGCCAGAUUAGAACCCUGAGCCCCAAGGUGCCCAGGCCGCCGGCGGGCAGCUCCAUGAGAUCCUCAGCCAUCAGUCCAGAGCAUGGGCAGAGCCAGGUCUGCACCCUCAGGAGCCGUGGAGGCCGGGUGAGCUGCUGCAGAGGGCACAGGCAGGCUCAUACUCACAGGCAGAAACCUGCAGCAUCCUUCUCUGCACCACCAGACAGCAACACCCCUGUGCUGGAACAGACAGAAACAAGGCUCAAGUCGGGAAAGCCAUGGGCGGCCACUGUGGGCCUGCAUCUCCGCUUCUGGAAUCUGGCUUUGAGAUCCUGCCUCCUUUCCCUUUGUGACCCAGGUCAGCUCUCGAGGACAGAACUGGGAGACGAGAGGCUCUUGUUGCCUGGGAUGCAUUCAUUCACUCUUUGACCCCCAUCAUAUCCAGGGCACUUACUCUAUGCCUGGCAGGGCCCUAGGGGCUGAGGAGGAGGGACCCUUGGAGGAGAAAGACAUCCUUGGCUUGAUUAGGUUUCAGGAGAAACAGACAAAGAGACAGAUCACGGUAAGACAAUGUGACUUUAAUUCAACAAAUAUUUGUUGGGCCCUUACGAUAUGCUCUACCUAAAACAGGGGGGGAACUAUGGAGCCACUCUGGGAAGGCUUCCUGGAGGAGGAGGCCUGUGGGUUAAGUCCUGAAGAUUGAGGAGAGGUUCACUGAGGGGCUAAUCCCUUCCUGGCUAAAGGGACACGGAUGAGGAAGGGGUCUGAAACUGCUUUGAGGACUUCUUUCUAAAUCAGCCCUUGCUCAUAUGAGAACAGGAAUUCUACCCUUUUGAAACCCAGUUCUCAGGGACUCCUUAUCUUGUCUCUGACUGUCUGAGUGGUUCCUUAAUCUCUUUAGGCCUCCGUGGACCUGUGUCUCCAACGGGAGUGAAAAAAGUCCUGUGUUUCAGAGCGUGAUUCCAGGCUUUGGAGAAAAGUCCUUGAGAAACAAUGCGGCCGAUGGCAUCCUCCUGCCUUCACUCGCCACUUACAACAGGAAAUUGGUUGUAUUUAUAAGAAUCACAAGCCUAAACGGGCCUCUGCUGGGCUACCCGCAGCCCCCCCCACCCCAUUCCCCUCUCUCCCCAAGUCACACAUCCUCCCUCCAAGAUUCCUCAGGGACCACAGGGCAAGUAGUGCAGAGAGUUGCUCAUAAAGCCGAUGAGCGAGCACUGGAAGUUAUUUUCUAGAUGAGGAAACCGAGGCCGUGGGUCUUCCGGUUCCCAAGCCGCUGCCUCUUCAUUGCACCCCAACUGCUCUCAGCCUGGGCUCCUCCGGCAGACGUGCCAUCCUCCCUCGGCUGGGGGAAAGUCUCCCUCCUCUGGAUGACACACGUCUUUAGAGAAACAUUUCCCACCAUUAAAGGGAUUUGGAAGAAAACUGGUGCAGCUUCCUCGGCUUUGAAGCGCGGUGGCCCCUCCUGGCCCUUUAAUUGUGCUUGGAACCAGCCCAGUUCCCAGAGCUCCCGCCCCUUCAGAAGAGGGGAAGGGCCCAGAGCCCUCCUGGCCUUUCUGCACCAAAGGUGACCUCUUAGUUCUUGUUUCAGGCCAUUUCAUUGCCAAAGCAUCAAGGGCUCCCACACAAAGAGCUUCAAAGCUAGGAGGGCUCAGGGUCAAGUACAACCAUGAGCAAACCCUGAGCUUUGGAUUCUGAAGCAUCGCCUUUGAGACCGUGUUCCAGCAGAGUUCCCACAGCCUUUUAAAGCCUAUAAUAGCUUCAGGUGAGUGACAUUUGAUUUUUGCAGCUAUCACACGAUUUGGCUAAACCACAUCAGGUGAGCAUGGAGGGAGUAUCCGUUUCAUGCCACACUUGCUCUUAAUUUUCCAAGCGAGGAAGGUGUGUAUAUAAUUAUCUUUCUUCAAUAGCUCUCAGUGUUGGCUACUCAUGAGAAUCAUCUGAAGAGCUUUAAAAACUAAAGGCUCUAAGUGGAACCCCUAGACCAAUUAAAUCAGAAUGUCUUGGGUGGAGCCUCUAUACAACCAUACUUGUUAAAGCACCCCCAAUGGUUCCCACGGGUGACUAAGGUUAAAGAAGCACUGCCUUAAGUAGGACGUUAACAGGGAAAAACCUGAACUCCCACCCAUACAGGUGAUGUUUCCGAAGGCAAAAUGAAGAUCAACCCCGUUCAUCUUUUAAUUAAUUUUUCGUUUUCAGACCUUCCCUGACCACCGAUCUCAUGAUUCCCAUAUAAGCUUUCAAGUAUUUUUACUAGCUUGACUCUUUCCAGCUCACCUCCACCUUCCAGUGCCCUAGAACGAAGUGCCCUCUCCUGGGAAUCAGGUGAUCUGACUCAGAAACCAAAGAACACGGAAAAAGAAUGAUUACGCUUUCAACCAAUUACUGUCAUCCAAAUUACAGUGACUAUCUCACCCCUGCCUGUUUGGAUCCAAGUGUGAUGCAAUUUCAGGAAGCUUUGGCGUGGAUGUUCCAAGAGCAAUCCACAGAUAGUAGGUCAGUCACAUUUGGCCCUGGACACAGUCACCAGCUGGAGGAGCAGUAGGAACCAGAAGCCUUGACCAUGUGGUGUGAGUUCAGCCAAUGGGCUCACAGACAGUGAUACAAGGAUGCCCUUGGGAGAUUCAUAAAUAUGUAAACAUCCAAGGAUGGGAACCGACUCAAGGGACUUCAGAGGACUGAGCACAGCUUAUACCACGCCAAAGAGAACCAGGUACAAGAGAUGGCAACUCUACCAUCUCUUUCUAGGACAGCUCUUAUAAAAGUCCCACCUCUUUGGGGAAGACAAUCCACUUACUCUCUCCACCGCCACCUUGGUUUUGCUUAAGAGAAGCAUGGCUGUCACAAUGGCUCAGAAGGGAUGAGGAGCAAGCCUGGAGAUGUUUCUGCCUCACACACCAGGGAGUGGUCCAAACGCUCUUUACCUCCAGACACUUCUUUACAUCUUACAGAGCAACGGAAAAUCAGCCCAGAACCUACAGAUGAUAGGCUCGUUUUGGAGAUGUAUAGUACGUGACAUGCAGGCGGGGGAACAUGGAAAACAAUUUCUCCUACAAAUUAAACACUUGAGACUCUGGAGCUGGUGAUGAGGCGUUCUACCUAUGUGGGAGGAGGGAGAGCUCAAAAAAAAUGGGCAUUUAGAAACAGAAGGAGGUGUUUAAAUAACAAAUGUUAGAAAUGUCACAAAUAAUUCUUUACGGUUUUUACAUAUGUUCUGAAAGCCCAAGUAUAUCCUGCUUUUCCAUUUAAUUUUGUUGUUCAGACCACCAUACCUAGUCAUUCCAUAAUUGUUCUAUCUUCCAAAAAAAAAAAAAAAAAAAAAAAAAAUUCGAGGAGACCACAGAUAGUAGUAUUCUGGCUGAUGUCUCAACAUGCUUAAUUUUGCACAGAUCGACUUUCCAAUUCUAUGAGUAUUCAAAGCACAACUCAUCUUCUCAAGUGAACGGGGACAUCCACAUCCUUCAGAGGCAAGGCAGGUGGGGCAAAUCCCCAGAUUCCUCAGCUGAAAGGUAUAGUAAACACAUCAGUAGGCCCUUCCCCAGUGAAACCUGCAGAGAAGAUUUUUCUCCAGAAUUAAGCACUAAAGGCUGAGUCGGAUUAGCCUCUGCAAUCCAGAUAACUCUCAAAUGCAUCCACGUAGCACUCUGAUUUACUGCGAAAUGAGGAGGCAGAGACAUGUGUUACCAAAAACAUAUCACACUGAACUGGAAACCAAAUUUCUUCAGUUGGCAAAAAAAAAAAAACCUCUUCGGGAUGGUGGAGGGUGGAAGGAUUUUAAACUUUCAAAAGAUUUACCAAGAAGACUUUCGCAGGUUAAGGGUCAAGUCAAAAGGUAUUCAUUUAAAAACUUUCUGAUAAUAACUGGGCACUGGGAAAGCCUAUCCAGAGUGUCAUCCUUUGCCCUAACUCAGCAAGAUUCAUAUACUGAUUUGAGAAAGGAGCUUGCAAGCUGGACCGACAGUCAGGAGCUAACACGAUUCAGGAAGGGCAGGCUCCGAGCUAGAAGGGACCCUCGGGAGGCAACUCAAGUCUUGAUUUCCCUGGGAGGGUCCCUCCCAAAGGGCAGGAGGAGGGGGACCCAGUGGGGGAGGGAGCCAUUCUAGAAGGAGAGGGGCUGGGGCUUCUUCAACUGUUCUGAGAGUACAGAAGGACGCAUUCAGCCAUUCAGGCACAAAACUGACGUGAUCUACGCAGAAUUUGAGGGAAAAAAAAAAAAAAAAA
RNAcentral lists this long non-coding RNA (4752 nucleotides) under Sus scrofa (pig). RNAcentral's name for it is "lncRNA (ENSSSCG00005015250.1)". Lineage: Eukaryota; Metazoa; Chordata; Mammalia; Artiodactyla; Suidae. The record is from RNAcentral.